UACAGGUGUAACCUGUCCGUACUGUAACUCAGUCAUGUGGUGUAGUACAGGUGUUACCUGUCCGUACAGUAACUCAGUCAUGUGGUGUAGUACAGGUGUAACCUGUCCGUACAGUAACUCAGUCAUGUGGUGUAGUACAGGUGUAACCUGUCAGUAACUCAGUCAUGUGGUGUAGUACAGGUGUUACCUGUCCGUACAGUAACUCAGUCAUGUGGUGUAGUACAGGUGUAACCUGUCCGUACAGUAACUCAGUCAUGUGGUGUAGUACAGGUGUAACCUGUCAGUAACUCAGUCAUGUGGUGUAGUACAGGUGUAACCUGUCCGUACAGUAACUCAGUCAUGUGGUGUAGUACAGGUGUAACCUGUCCGUACUGUAACUCAGUCAUGUGGUGUAGUACAGGUGUUACCUGUCCGUACAGUAACUCAGUCAUGUGGUGUAGUACAGGUGUAACCUGUCCGUACUGUAACUCAGUCAUGUGGUGUAGUACAGGUGUAACCUGUCCGUACAGUAACUCAGUCAUGUGGUGUAGUACAGGUGUUACCUGUCAGUACAGUAACUCAGUCAUGUGGUGUAGUACAGGCGUAACCUGUCCGUACAGUAACUCAGUCAUGUGGUGUAGUACAGGCGUAACCUGUCCGUACAGUAACUCAGUCAUGUGGUGUAGUACAGGUGUAACCUGUCAGUAACUCAGUCAUGUGGUGUAGUACAGGUGUUACCUGUCCGUACAGUAACUCAGUCAUGUGGUGUAGUACAGGUGUAACCUGUCCGUACAGUAACUCAGUCAUGUGGUGUAGUACAGGUGUAACCUGUCCGUACAGUAACUCAGUCAUGUGGUGUAGUACGGUGUAACCUGUCCGUACAGUAACUCAGUCAUGUGGUGUAGUACAGGUGUAACCUGUCCGUACAGUAACUCAGUCAUGUGGUGUAGUACAGGUGUAACCUGUCCGUACAGUAACUCAGUCAUGUGGUGUAGUACAGGUGUAACCUGUCCGUACAGUAACUCAGUCAUGUGGUGUAGUACAGGUGUAACCUGUCCGUACAGUAACUCAGUCAUGUGGUGUAGUACAGGUGUAACUCAGUCAUGUGGUGUAGUACAGGUGUAACCUGUCAGUA
RNAcentral lists this long non-coding RNA (1114 nucleotides) under Salmo salar (Atlantic salmon). RNAcentral's name for it is "lncRNA (ENSSSAG00000119366.1)". The record is from RNAcentral. Lineage: Eukaryota; Metazoa; Chordata; Actinopteri; Salmoniformes; Salmonidae.